AUUGAACGCUGGCGGCAGGCCUAACACAUGCAAGUCGAGCGGAUGAAGGGAGCUUGCUCCUGGAUUCAGCGGCGGACGGGUGAGUAAUGCCUAGGAAUCUGCCUGGUAGUGGGGGAUAACGUCCGGAAACGGGCGCUAAUACCGCAUACGUCCUGAGGGAGAAAGUGGGGAACCUUGGAACUCACCGUAACAGGAUAAGCCUAGGUCGGAUUAGCUAGUUGGUGGGGUAAAGGCCUACCAAGGCGACGAUCCGUAACUGGUCUGAGAGGAUGAUCAGUCACACUGGAACUGAGACACGGUCCAGACUCCUACGGGAGGCAGCAGUGGGGAAUAUUGGACAAUGGGCGAAAGCCUGAUCCAGCCAUGCCGCGUGUGUGAAGAAGGUCUUCGGAUUGUAAAGCACUUUAAGUUGGGAGGAAGGGCAGUAAGUUAAUACCUUGCUGUUUUGACGUUACCAACAGAAUAAGCACCGGCUAACUUCGUG
RNAcentral lists this ribosomal RNA (484 nucleotides) under uncultured bacterium. Its description in RNAcentral is "partial 16S ribosomal RNA". It matches the Rfam family "Bacterial small subunit ribosomal RNA", at positions 30 to 507 of the family's 1533-position model. The record is from RNAcentral.